Molecule: long non-coding RNA, 230 nt
Filed under: Elaeis guineensis (African oil palm)
Lineage: Eukaryota; Viridiplantae; Streptophyta; Magnoliopsida; Arecales; Arecaceae
Description: long non-coding RNA (EGUI_LNC078495)
Source: RNAcentral
CUCCGAUGCUCAAGUCAGUUCUCUGCCUCAACAAGAAUGGAGUGCUCGAACGGAGAGUUUAGCAGAGUUUUGAGAUAAGGCGAAAGGGCUUAAGGAAUAACGUAUCUGAGUCUCCCCUUUUAUAGGCGGGGGAGGCAACGGACUGAUGGCGACGUUUGUAACCGCCUGGUAGUGGGCCGCCCACGGUCAGGGGAAAUGAUUGCGAAAGAUAAUGGAGCAGACACGUGGGC